GAACUCACGGACCGUGAGAUCGUGACCUGGCUGAAGUCGGACGCUUAACCGACUGCACCACCCAGGCGCCCCUUUAUCUGUUUCAUUUUUAUCUUUGUAGCUACACAUAUCCUUUUGGUUUUAUGGCAUAAUGUUAAGCCCUUCCUGAUAGGUGUGUGAUACCCUCAGCCUCGUCCCCCUCCACCUCCGUGAUGAACUGGAAAUCCCAUGUUUGAGGUCAUCUCUGCCCAGGUCAGAUGCGAGUGAGAGGCUGUGUUCCCAAUGCCCUGCAGGUCGGGCCACAGGUAGCUAGUGGCUAUUAUAUGGGAUGGCACAGCCUGGAGAGACCCUAAUUAGACUUUAGGAUUAAAGUUUUUCCCACAGAAAUAUUCCCAAGUGAUGUUCUCUGGUGGUAACUAAUAUGAUUAUGAACUCAAUGUCACAGAACUUGAAGGAGUAGCUGAGCUUUAUUUGUAAAAUUGCUCCUAAGAAACAAAAGAUGCAAACUUUCCAAAGACUUAAAAAGAUCUUCUAGAUAAGGCGUGUUGGUCAAGUAGGAAUUUUAUGUGGAAUUUUCCUAAUAUACUUAUCUUCCAGUAAUUUGGAAAUAAGGAAAUGAGAUUUAUGUGGAUCAGACCAGAGAUUAAAAGGCCAGUAUGUCCCAAACCAGAUUUGGCCGUAUUCAUGAACAUAGCUUAACUUGUCCAUAAUGGAGCUGCUCAUUCCUUGCCCUGAAGUCUGUCCCUUCCCCACUCUUCCUCUUUCAUAAAUGGCAUCCUGCCACCCGGUGGCUCCAGCCAGAAACCCAGGUGGCCUCCUUGGGUCUACACUGGCUCUUCCCUAGUUUCCAAAUCACCACCCAGUUCCACAUCCCAUCCAAUACAAUUUACUUCUCUAAAUACCCCAGAAAAGUUCAUGUCUAGCCAUCACUGCAGUCCUGCCCCAGCCUAAGCUAUUUAAAUGUACUUUAACAUUAAAUAAAAGUAGGGACACCUGGCUGGAUCCACGGGUAGAGCAUGUGACUCUUGAUCUCAGGACCAUGACUUCUAGCCCCACAUGAGCGUCGAGGUUACUUUUUAAAAAAAAUUAAAAGUGAAUGCUUUUCCCUCACCUGCACUAGCCCCAUUUCAAGUGCUCGGUAUUGGGAAGGGCAGAUACAGAACAUUCCCAUCAUCACAGAAAGUUCUAUUGGGUGGUGCUGUCACCCUAAAGAGAGGAACAGCCCCUCCACAUUUCUGUGGGACAGUAAUUACAGUGGGAGUCCCUGUGGUUUGAAACGAGUUCAGGCAUACACCGCCUAUUCCCCUUCCCUCUUCCAGCUACUGGCAGAGUCCUGGUGUCUACCAGGCGCCAUGAUGACCUGCAGGACUGGGCCGAACUGUCCAACUGCUGUGGAGUUUCCCUUGUUGGCCAUCGCUUCUCCAUUCUCAGUGCCAAGGUUUGCCGCCAUCUUUCCUGGGGGGACUCAAACCAGAUGCUUCCCUCUGCAGGAAACACUCGUACGUAACAACAGUCCUGAUGCUGCUGCGCGGCCAGUGCGGAGUGUAAAGGAGCCAUUCUUUUCUCUCUCAAAAUCUCGAUGCAAGUACGUUUGAAGAAGGCACACGUACGUUUACGCACUGAGGAAACGCCACAAACCCAGCCCACCUUUAUAGCCACCAUCGAGAUGAAGAAGCAGCACGUUACCAGCACCCCCCAGAAAUUUACAUCCAUCUACGUAUACAGGCAUCCGUGAAUAUAGGUCAUAAAUUCUAUAGAAAUGUAACGAAGGCUACAAGCAGUUCUUUAAUGCCAUUUCAUCACACUAUUGACCCAAGUCAGUUAAAACCUUCUGACCUAAGGCUUCCUUCCCUAGCUGUGAACUACGUUUGUUUGAUAAAGCCUUUUUUAUAGCCUUUACAAAGGCUUUAUGAAGCCAUUUGCUCUUCUCCAUAAUGCAUCAUCUUAUUAACAUCGGUCCAUUCUUCCUUACAGAUGUUUUCAUUUUUUUCGAUACAUGGCAGAGUCUGGCUGGCACCCAGUGCGUUACCUACCUACCCUUCCAGUUUUGUGUCAGCAAUAAAUGAUUUCUUAGUGGGAUGAGUCCAAUAAGAAAAAGCGUAUAUUCUCUCAGGCUUAUUCCAGACCUUAUGCCUC
Molecule: long non-coding RNA, 2115 nt
Organism: Felis catus (domestic cat)
Lineage: Eukaryota; Metazoa; Chordata; Mammalia; Carnivora; Felidae
Exons: 2
Source: RefSeq, a predicted model, not a curated record